Molecule: ribosomal RNA, 253 nt
Filed under: uncultured bacterium
Lineage: Bacteria
Description: partial 16S ribosomal RNA
Rfam family: Bacterial small subunit ribosomal RNA
Source: RNAcentral
UACGUAGGGACCGAGCGUUGUCCGGAAUCAUUGGGCGUAAAGAGCGUGUAGGCGGCCUUUUAAGUCCUGCGUGAAAUCCUGCGGCUCAACCGCAGACGGUCGUGGGAAACUGGAAGGCUAGAGUGCGGGAGAGGAGAGUGGAAUUCCCGGUGUAGCGGUGAAAUGCGCAGAUAUCGGGAAGAACACCCGUGGCGAAGGCGGCUCUCUGGAACGCAACUGACGCUCAUGCACGAAAGCGUGGGGAGCAAACAGG